Molecule: ribosomal RNA, 1144 nt
Filed under: Trypanosoma vivax
Lineage: Eukaryota; Euglenozoa; Kinetoplastea; Trypanosomatida; Trypanosomatidae
Description: 12S ribosomal RNA
Rfam family: Trypanosomatid mitochondrial large subunit ribosomal RNA (bases 599-1144)
Source: RNAcentral
AUAUUAACCAGUUUUAUUAUUUAUUAUAAUAAUGAUAUUUAAGUUUUAUCAAAAAUUUAAAUUCUGUAUUAUCAGUUUAUUAUUUGUAUUAUAAUUAUAUAUGUGUUUUAUAUUUAAAUAUUAAAUUUGUUGUUUUAUAUUUAUAUUUAUAUUUAUAAUUUAAACAUAUAAAUUUUUAUUUUAAAAUUUAUUGAACUGUAAUGUAUUGUUUAAUAUUUUUAGUUUGAUGUUUAAAUAUUUAAUUAAAGAAGGUACAGUUGUUAUAUAUGUAACAAAUAAAUAUAGUAAGAUUAUUUUAUUUAUAUUAAUAUAUAAAUAUUUAUAUUUUUUAAAUGAAUAUUAUGAAUACAUUAAAAAUUAAUUUUUUUAACUAAUAAUAUAAAUAUAUACUUAUUAUUUGAUUUGAAUAUUAAAUAUACUUAUUAUAAUUUGUACUUAUUUAAAUUAAUUAAUUAAUUAGUAAAUAAAUAUUAUUAUUUAAUAUGUCAUUUUAAUAUUUAAUAUUUGUUUAUAUAUAAGUAAAAAAAAUAAAUAAUAAGUAUUAUUAUUAAAUAUUUAUUUAUAUAAAUAUAAAUAUAUUGUUAAUAAAAUUUUUGUAUUUUAAAUGCGUUUAUUAAAUGCGUUUGUCUAAGUAUUUUAUUUAAGAUUAUUCUUGUAUAUAUAUUUUCUUUUUAUUAGUUCUUAUUACAAUAUAUAUAUUCCUUAUUAUUAAAAUAUUUGUAGCAUAGUAAUUUAUUAAUUAAUUAUUAAAGAGUUCCAUAGAAAUUUUUUAAAUUAUAACAAAUAAAAUAAUGUAUGAAUUAAAAUAAAAAUUUUAAUAAAAAUUAAAUAAUUAAAAUAGGACAAGACCUACUCUCCUUUACAAAGAGAACAUUAUUAUAUAUGUAUUUGUAUGUUUGAUUGGGGCAAUACUAUAUUUAGUUAUAUAGAAAAAGAACUAUAAUUAUUGAAAUAGUAAAAGGUUCGAGCAGGUUAACAAGCAUAUAUAUAAAAUGUGUUUCAUCGUCUACUUAUUGUUUUAAAUUGAUUGUUCAUCAAAAUUACAAUUCGUUAGUUGGGUUAAAAUCGUUGUAAAGCAGAUUUGUUUAUAUAUUUAAUUAAUAAAUAAAAGUAAAAUAAAUAUUAGUACGCAAGGAUUGAUUAU